This 253-nucleotide ribosomal RNA is filed under the name uncultured bacterium. RNAcentral's name for it is "partial 16S ribosomal RNA". It matches the Rfam family "Bacterial small subunit ribosomal RNA", at positions 524 to 776 of the family's 1533-position model. The record is from RNAcentral.
UACGAAGGGUGCAAGCGUUACUCGGAAUUACUGGGCGUAAAGCGUGCGUAGGCGGUUUGUUAAGUCCGUUGUGAAAGCCCUGGGCUCAACCUGGGAAUUGCAGUGGAUACUGGCGAGCUAGAGUGCGGUAGAGGAUGGUGGAAUUCCCGGUGUAGCGGUGAAAUGCGUAGAGAUCAGGAGGAACACCCGUGGCGAAGGCGGCUCUCUGGUCGACAUCUGACGCUGAGACGCGAAAGCGUGGGGAGCGAACGGG